AGCCCAUAAAAGGGGUUGGUCGAUACAGACAGCAGGACGGUGGCCAUGGAAGUCGGAAUCCGCCAAGGAGUGUGUAACAACUCACCUGCCGAAUCGACUAGCCCUGAAAAUGGAUGGCGCUGAGCGUGCCGCCCAUACCCGGCCGUCGGGGCAGAGANCGGUGGACCGGCCCCCGGGUGGUAGGCCCGACGAGUAGAGGCCNCCGCGGUGCGCGUUAAGCGCCGGCCGCUGAGCCGCGUGGACCGCCGCGGGCGCAGAUCUUGGUGGUAGUAGCAAAUAUUCGAGUGAGAUCCUCGAGGACCGAGUGGCGGAGAAGGGUUCCAUGUGAACAGCAGUUGUACAUGGGUCAGUCGAUCCUAAGCCCCAGGGAAACUCCGCUCCGAGCGGAGGCGGGCGCCCCUCUCCUCGUCGAGUUUGGGGGCCUCGCUCCCCGGGCGAAAGGGAAUCGGGUCAAUAUUCCCGAACCCGAAGGCGGAGUCCUCCGUCCACGAUUCCGACUUCGCGUCGGGUCGCGGCGGUCCGAGCUGCAAAGCGAGCGAGCCCGCAGACGCCGGCCGGGGCCCCGGGAAGAGUUUUCUUUUCUUGGUAAGGGGCGGGAUCCCUGGAAUCGGCUUGUCCGGAGCUAGGGGCUGCGGCCCCGUAGAGCGCCGCGUCUCCGGCGGCGUCCGGCGAGCUCCGGCCGGCCCUUGAAAAUGCGGGGGUGUGCGUGGACCGUCGCCUCGGGUCGUACCGAUAACCGCAGCCGGUCUCCAACCUA
Molecule: ribosomal RNA, 757 nt
Filed under: Henricia sp. AMCC 113385
Lineage: Eukaryota; Metazoa; Echinodermata; Asteroidea; Spinulosida; Echinasteridae
Description: eukaryotic LSU rRNA
Rfam family: Eukaryotic large subunit ribosomal RNA
Source: RNAcentral